This 155-nucleotide unclassified non-coding RNA is filed under the name uncultured Hypocreales. RNAcentral's name for it is "sequence contains ITS1". The record is from RNAcentral. Lineage: Eukaryota; Fungi; Ascomycota; Sordariomycetes; Hypocreales.
CAGGGCUAAACAACCCCCUAACCCUCUGUAAACUUGAAGUCUGGUUGCUCAGGCAGGCGGUCCCCGGGGGGGAUCGCAGCCUCGCUGAGGCGCCUGCCGGAGGAUACCUAAACUCGUUUUUAUUACCGAAUAUCUGAGUUAAACAAAAUGAAUUA